Molecule: ribosomal RNA, 492 nt
Filed under: uncultured bacterium
Lineage: Bacteria
Description: partial 16S ribosomal RNA
Rfam family: Bacterial small subunit ribosomal RNA
Source: RNAcentral
AGUGAACGCUGGCGGUAGGCCUAACACAUGCAAGUCGAACGGCAGCACAGCAAGAGCUUGCUCUUACGGGUGGCGAGUGGCGGACGGGUGAGGAAUACAUCGGAAUCUACUUUUUCGUGGGGGAUAACGUAGGGAAGCUUACGCUAAUACCGCAUACGACCUACGGGUGAAAGCAGGGGAUCUUCGGACCUUGCGCGAUUGAAUGAGCCGAUGUCGGAUUAGCUAGUUGGCGGGGUAAAGGCCCACCAAGGCGACGAUCCGUAGCUGGUCUGAGAGGAUGAUCAGCCACACUGGAACUGAGACACGGUCCAGACUCCUACGGGAGGCAGCAGUGGGGAAUAUUGGACAAUGGGCGCAAGCCUGAUCCAGCCAUACCGCGUGGGUGAAGAAGGCCUUCGGGUUGUAAAGCCCUUUUGUUGGGAAAGAAAAGCAGCAGGUUAAUACCCCGCUGUUCUGACGGUACCCAAAGAAUAAGCACCGGCUAACUUCGUG